UGACCCGGAAGGGAGCUCUGAAGAGGCGGGGCCAGGACGGCGGGACCGGCCGCUGGGUCUCAGCGAGGGCUGAGCCGGGCGGUGGGAGGAGGUCAGGAUGGUCGGGGAACGGCAUGCUGGGGACCUCAUGGUGCCUUUAGGGCCUCAGCUGCAGGCAUAUCCUGAAGAACUCAUUCGACAGAGGCCUGGGCAUGAUGGGCAUCCUGAAUACCUGAUCCGAUGGAGUGUCCUGAAGUGUGGGGAAGUGGGCAAAGUGGGUGUGGAAGAAGGCAAAGCAGAGCACAUCCUCAUGUGGCUGUCAGCUCCUGAGGUCUACGCCAACUGCCCUGGGCUGUUAGGUGAGCGGGCACUAUCUAAGGGACCUCAGCACGAACCAGCUGGGGUUUCAGGAAGCUUUCCUCGAGAUCCAGGAGGCCUGGAUGAAGUGGCAAUGGGAGAGAUGGAGGCUGAUGUGCAGGCGCUGGUACGCAGGGCAGCCAGGCAGCUGGCAGAAAGUGGGACCCCAAGCCUCACGGCUGCUGUGCUCCACACCAUCCACGUGCUCAGUGCCUACGCCAGCAUCGGGCCCCUUACUGGUGUCUUCAGGGAGACAGGAGCCCUGGACCUGCUCAUGCACAUGUUGUGCAAUCCUGAGCCUCAGAUCCGCCGGAGUGCAGGCAAAAUGCUGCAGGCUCUGGCAGCCCACGAUGCUGGGAGUCGGGCUCACGUCCUUCUGUCACUGAGCCAGCAAGAUGGCAUCGAGCAGCACAUGGAUUUUGACAGUCGCUAUACAUUGCUGGAGCUGUUUGCAGAAACCACAUCCUCUGAAGAACACUGCAUGGCCUUUGAGGGCAUUCAUCUGCCUCAGAUCCCAGGAAAGCUGCUCUUCUCCUUGGUGAAGCGCUACCUUUGUGUCACCUCCCUCCUGGAUCAGCUGAAUAACAGUCCAGAGCUGGGAGCUGGAGACCAAAGCUCCCCAUGUGCCACAAGAGAGAAAAGCCGGGGACAGCGGGAGCUGGAGUUCAGCAUGGCUGUGGGCAACCUCAUCUCUGAGCUUGUGCGGAGCAUGGGCUGGGCCCGGAACCUCAGUGAACAGGGCAUGUCACCUCCCCGGCCAACCCGGUCCAUCUUUCAGCCCUACAUUUCAGGCCCCAGCCUUUUGCUCCCCACCAUUGUCACCACCCCCAGAAGACAAGGGUGGGUCUUCCGCCAGCGCUCUGAAUUCUCCAGCCGUAGUGGCUAUGGAGAAUAUGUGCAGCAGACGCUGCAGCCGGGGAUGCGAGUGCGGAUGCUGGAUGAUUAUGAGGAGAUCAGUGCUGGGGAUGAGGGCGAGUUCCGGCAGAGCAACAACGGCAUUCCCCCUGUGCAGGUUUUCUGGCAGUCGACAGGCCGCACUUACUGGGUGCACUGGCACAUGCUGGAGAUCCUGGGCCCUGAGGAAGCCACUGAGGAUAAGGCUUCAGCAGCUGUGGAGAAGGGGGCAGGGGCUACUGUGUUGGGCACAGCAUUUCCCUCCUGGGACUGGAAUCCUAUGGAUGGGCUCUACCCUUUGCCGUACCUCCAGCCCGAACCUCAGAAGAAUGAGAGAGUGGGAUAUCUGACCCAGGCUGAAUGGUGGGAGCUGCUUUUCUUUAUCAAAAAGUUGGACUUGUGUGAGCAGCAGCCAAUUUUCCAGAAUCUUUGGAAGAACGUGGAUGAGACCCUGGGUGAAAAGGCCCUAGGUGAGAUCUCUGUGUCCGUGGAGAUGGCCGAGAGUCUGCUGCAGGUUCUCAGUAGUCGAUUUGAGGGCAGCACUCUCAAUGACCUGCUCAACUCCCAGAUCUACACCAAGUAUGGGCUGCUGUCUGAUGAACCAAGCAGCUCGUCUACUUCACAGAAUCACUCCUGUACCCCAGAUCCAGAAGAGGAGUCCAAGUCGGAGGCCAACUUCUCAGAGGAAGAGACUGAGUCCCCCAAAGCAAAGACCGAGGCCCCUAAGACAGAGGCCGAGCCCACCAAGACAAGGACUGAGCCCCCCAUGGCACAGAGUGAUUCGCAGCUGUUUAACCAGCUUCUGGUGACUGAGGGGAUGACCCUGCCCACUGAGAUGAAGGAGUCAGCCAGUGAAAUGGCCAGAGCCUUGCGGGGUCCCGGUCCUCGCAGCUCCCUGGAUCAACAUGUGGCAGCGGUCGUGGCCACUGUGCAGAUAUCCACCUUGGACACAAACCUGCAGCUUUCAGGGCUCUGUGCCCUCUCUCAGGCUGUGGAGGAGGUCACUGAGCGGGACCACCCUCUGGUCCGUCCUGACAGAUCACUGAGAGAGAAGCUAGUGAAGAUGCUGGUGGAGCUGCUGACCAACCAGGUGGGAGAGAAGAUGGUGGUGGUGCAGGCCCUGCGCCUCCUUUACCUGCUCAUGACCAAGCACGAGUGGCGGCCGCUCUUUGCCAGGGAGGGUGGCAUCUAUGCUGUACUGGUCUGCAUGCAAGAAUAUAAGACUUCUGUCUUGGUGCAGCAGGCUGGGCUGGCGGCACUGAAGAUGCUGGCCAUCGCCAGCUCCUCGGAGAUCCCCACUUUUGUUACUGGCCGAGAUUCUAUCCACUCUUUGUUUGAUGCUCAGAUGACCAGAGAGAUCUUCGCCAGCAUUGACUCUGCUACACGCCCGGGCUCUGAGAGCCUGCUCCUCACUGUCCCUGCAGCCGUGAUCCUGAUGCUGAACACUGAGGGGUGCUCUUCUGCAGCGAGAAAUGGCUUGCUCCUGCUCAACCUGCUUUUGUGCAACCACCACACUCUGGGAGACCAGAUUAUAACCAGAGAGCUAAGAGACACGUUGUUUAGGCACUCAGGGAUAGCACCGGGGACAGAACCUAUGCCUACCACACGCACCAUCCUCAUGAUGCUUCUCAAUCGCUACUCAGAGCCGCCGGGCAGCCCUGAGCAUGCAGCUCUAGAGACCCCCAUCAUCCAGGGUCAGGAUGGGUCCCCUGAGCUACUGAUUCGAUCCCUGGUUGGGGGCCCAUCUGCAGAACUACUCCUGGACUUGGAGCGUGUGCUGUGCCGUGAGGGCAGCCCCGGGGGUGCCGUGAGGCCCCUCCUCAAGCGCCUCCAGCAGGAGACCCAGCCUUUCCUCCUGUUGCUGCGGACUCUGGAUGCUCCGGGGCCCAACAAGACUCUGCUGCUGUCUGUGCUGAGGGUCAUAACCCGACUGCUGGAUUUCCCUGAGGCAAUGGUCCUCCCUUGGCACGAGGUCUUGGAACCCUGCCUCAACUGCCUGAGUGGCCCUAGCAGUGACUUUGAGAUUGUUCAGGAGCUGACCUGCUUCCUACAUCGCCUGGCCUUGAUGCAUAAGGACUAUGCUGUGGUGCUCUGCUGCCUGGGAGCAAAAGAGGUCCUCUCCAAAGUCCUGGACAAGCACUCAGCUCAGCUGCUGCUGGGCUGUGAGCUUCGGGACCUGGUGACAGAGUGUGAGAAGUACGCACAGCUCUAUAGCAACCUCACCUCUAGCAUCCUGGCUGGCUGCAUUCAGAUGGUGCUGGGCCAGAUCGAAGACCACAGACGAACCCACCAACCCAUCAAUAUCCCCUUCUUUGAUGUGUUCCUCAGGCAUCUCUGCCAGGGCUCCAGUGUGGAAGUGAAGGAGGACAAGUGCUGGGAGAAGGUGGAGGUGUCCUCCAACCCGCACCGGGCCAGCAAGCUGAUGGACCACAACCCCAAGACCUACUGGGAGUCCAACGGCAGCACCGGCUCCCACUACAUCACCCUGCACAUGCACCGUGGUGUUCUUGUUAGGCAGCUCACUUUGUUGGUGGCCAGUGAGGACUCAAGCUACAUGCCAGCCAGGGUGGUGGUGUUUGGGGGUGACAGCACCAGCUGCAUCAGCACUGAGCUCAACACGGUGAAUGUGAUGCCCUCUGCCAGCCGGGUGAUCCUCCUGGAGAAUCUGAACCGCUUCUGGCCUAUCAUCCAGAUCCGCAUAAAGCGCUGCCAGCAGGGCGGCAUUGACACCCGGGUUCGGGGUGUGGAGGUCCUGGGCCCUAAGCCCACAUUCUGGCCACUGUUCCGGGAGCAGCUGUGUCGCCGAACAUGUCUCUUCUACACAAUUCGGGCACAAGCCUGGAGCCGGGACAUAGCAGAGGACCGCCGGCGCCUCCUCCAGCUCUGUCCCAGACUGAACAGGGUUUUACGCCAUGAGCAGAAUUUUGCUGACCGCUUCCUCCCUGAUGAUGAGGCCGCCCAAGCAUUGGGCAAGACCUGCUGGGAGGCCCUGGUCAGCCCCCUGGUGCAGAACAUCACCUCUCCCGAUGCGGAAGGUGUGAGUGCCCUGGGAUGGCUGCUGGAUCAGUACUUAGAACAGAGAGAGAGCUCUCAGAACCCCCUGAGUCGAACAGCGUCCUUUGCUUCUCGAAUUCGUCGCCUUUGCCACUUGCUGGUGCAUGUGGAGCCUCCUCCUGGGCCUUCUCCUGAGCCAUCCACUCGGCCCUUCAGCAAGAACAGUAAGGGUCGGGACCGGAACCCGGCGCCUUUGCCAGUGCUUCCAAGCAGCAGCCUGAGGAACAUAACCCAAUGCUGGCUGAGCGUGGUGCAGGAGCAGGUUGGCAGAUUCCUGGCUGCAGCUUGGGGGUCCCCAGACUUUGUGCCUCGUUACUGUAAACUCUAUGAGCACUUGCAGAGAGCAGGCUCCGAGCUGUUUGGGCCUCGGGCAGCCUUCACGCUGGCUCUGCGCAGUGGCUUCUCUGGCGCCUUGCUGCAGCAGUCCUUCCUUACUGCUGCUCACGUGAGUCCCACCAGCUCCCCACAGGGCUAUAAGCUCAUGUUCCAAGUUCAUUGCUUUCUGCUCUGCCCUUUCACCUCCUUUCGCUCCCCAGUCUCCUCCACUCCCUCGUUCAUGGUUUGCCCAUGCCCUUUCCACUGCCCCCAGAUGAGUGAGCAGUUUGCCAGGUACAUUGACCAGCAGAUCCAGGGUGGCCUGAUUGGUGGAGCCCCUGGAGUGGAAAUGCUGGGGCAGCUUCAGCGGCACUUGGAACCCAUUAUGGUCCUUUCUGGUCUGGAACUGGCCACAACUUUUGAGCACUUCUAUCAGCAUUACAUGGCGGACCGUCUCCUGAGCUUUGGCUCGAGCUGGCUGGAGGGGGCCGUGCUGGAGGAGAUUGGCCUCUGUUUUCCCAACCGCCUCCCCCAGCUGAUGCUGCAGAGCCUGAGUACCUCUGAGGAGCUGCAGCGCCAGUUCCACCUCUUCCAGCUCCAGCGGCUCGACAAGUUGUUCUUGGAGCAGGAAGACGAGGAGGAAAAGAGACUAGAGGAAGAGGAGGAGGAAGAGGAGGAGGAGGAAGCUGAGAAAGAAUUAUUUAUUGAAGAUCCAAGUCCAGCCAUUUCUAUACUGGUCCUGUCACCACGCUGCUGGCCGGUCUCCCCACUCUGCUACCUGUACCAUCCCAGAAAGUGCCUUCCCACAGAAUUCUGUGAUGCCCUUGACCGUUUCUCCAGUUUCUACAGCCAGAGUCAGAACCAUCCAAUCCUGGACAUGGGACCACAUCGGCGACUGCAGUGGACGUGGCUGGGCCGGGCUGAGCUGCAGUUUGGGAACCAGACACUGCAUGUGUCCACCGUGCAGAUGUGGCUGCUACUGAAUUUCAAUCAUACAGAGGAGGUGUCAGUAGAGACCUUGCUGAAGGAUUCUGCCCUCUCCCCAGAGCUGCUGCUCCAGGCACUCGUGCCCCUCACCUCGGGGAAUGGCCCUUUGACCCUGCAUGAGGGCCAGGACUUUCCACACAGGGGUGUGCUGCGGCUUCAUGAGCCUGGGCCCCAGUGCAGUGGGGAGGCCCUGUGGCUGAUACCUCCCCAGGCGUACCUGAACGUAGAGAAGGAUGAGGGCCGAACCCUGGAACAGAAGAGGAAUCUCUUGAGCUGUCUUCUUGUUCGUAUUCUCAAAGCCCAUGGGGAAAAGGGCCUCCACAUUGAUCAGCUGGUUUGUCUGGUGCUGGAGGCCUGGCAGAAGGGUCCAAAUCCUCCUGGAACCCUGGGCCACACUGUUGCUGGGGGCGUGGCCUGUACCAGUACAGAUGUCCUCUCUUGCAUCCUGCACCUCUUAGGCCAGGGCUAUGUGAAACGGCGUGAUGACCGGCCCCAGAUCCUGAUGUAUGCUGCUCCAGAGCCCAUGGGGCCCUGCCGGGGUCAGGCAGAUGUCCCUUUCUGUGGCAGCCAGAGCAAAACCUCCAAGCCUAGCCCAGAAGCUGUGGCUACCCUGGCAUCUCUACAGUUGCCUGCAGGCCGCACCAUGAGCCCCCAGGAAGUAGAAGGGUUGAUGAAGCAGACGGUGUGUCAGGUGCAGGAGACUCUGAACUUAGAGCCAGAUGUCGCUCAGCACCUUUUGGCUCAUUCCCACUGGGGUGCCGAACAGCUGCUGCAGAGCUACAGUGAGGACCCUGAGCCACUGCUGCUGGCAGCUGGGCUGUGCGUACCCCAAGUCCAGGCUGUACCCACACGGCCUGACCACUGCCCUGUCUGCGUGAGCCCUCUGGGGUGUGACGACUACUUGCCCUCUCUCUGCUGCAUGCACUAUUGCUGUAAGUCUUGCUGGAAUGAGUACCUGACAACUCGGAUCGAGCAGAACCUUGUUUUGAAUUGCACCUGCCCCAUUGCCGACUGCCCCGCCCAGCCCACCGGAGCCUUCAUUCGUGCCAUCGUCUCCUCGCCAGAGGUCAUCUCCAAGUAUGAGAAGGCGCUCCUGCGUAGCUAUGUGGAGAGCUGCUCCAACCUGACCUGGUGCACCAAUCCCCAGGGCUGCGACCGCAUCCUGUGCCGCCAGGGCCUGGGCUGUGGGACCACCUGCUCCAAGUGUGGCUGGGCCUCUUGCUUCAACUGUAGCUUCCCUGAGGCACACUACCCUGCUAGCUGUGGCCACAUGUCUCAGUGGGUUGAUGAUGGCGGCUACUAUGACGGCAUGAGCAUGGAGGCACAGAGCAAGCACCUGGCCAAGCUCAUCUCCAAGCGCUGUCCCAGCUGUCAGGCUCCCAUCGAGAAGAACGAGGGGUGCCUGCACAUGACCUGUGCCAGAUGUAACCAUGGAUUCUGCUGGCGCUGCCUCAAGUCCUGGAAGCCAAAUCACAAAGACUAUUACAACUGCUCUGCCAUGGUAAGCAAGGCAGCUCGCCAGGAGAAGCGGUUUCAGGACUAUAACGAGAGGUGCACUUUCCAUCACCAGGCGCGGGAAUUUGCUGUGAACUUGCGGAACCGGGUGUCUGCCAUCCAUGAAGUGCCCCCGCCCAGAUCCUUUACCUUCCUCAAUGAUGCCUGCCAGGGACUGGAGCAGGCUCGGAAGGUGCUGGCCUAUGCCUGCGUGUACAGCUUCUACAGCCAGGACGCAGAGUACAUGGACGUGGUGGAGCAGCAGACGGAGAACCUGGAGUUGCACACCAAUGCCCUGCAGAUCCUCCUCGAUGUUCCAUAGGUGUUUGUUGGAGGAAAGAAUGGAUGAGAAUGAGAAGGGAGGGAGCCUCUGUGCCUGCCCCCUCUGCAGAGGAGACCCUGCUGCGGUGCAGAGACCUGGCCUCCUCUCUGCGACUCCUGCGGGCUGACUGCCUCAGCACGGGCAUGGAGCUGCUCCGACGGAUCCAGGAGAGGCUGCUUGCCAUCCUGCAGCAUUCCGCCCAGGAUUUCCGGGUUGGUCUUCAGAGUCCAUCAGCAGAGGCCUGGGAGACAAAAGGACCCAAUGUGCCCGGCAGUCAGCCCCAGGCCUCCUCAGGGCCAGAGGCGGAAGAAGAGGAGGAAGACGAUGAGGAUGAUGUGCCCGAGUGGCAGCAGGAUGAGUUUGAUGAGGAGCUGGACAAUGACAGCUUCUCCUACGAUGAGUCUGAGAACCUGGAUCAAGAGACUUUCUUCUUUGGUGAUGAGGAAGAGGAUGAAGAUGAGGCCUAUGACUGAGGGGCAAAUGCAGGAAACACCUAGAGCCGCCCCAGAGUCACGGGGCUGUGGGGGCGGGAGCUGCCCGUUUGUCAUGGGGAGGGAUUCCCAGUGUCUGCAGUGCCUCUUUCUGUUUAUUGAAUAAAGGCCUCUUUCUCACACA
RNA transcript from Rhinopithecus roxellana (golden snub-nosed monkey), 8017 nucleotides. It is a transcript of the gene named cullin 9, with no coding region annotated. NCBI's taxonomy places the organism in Eukaryota, Metazoa, Chordata, Mammalia, Primates, Cercopithecidae. The transcript has 40 exons. The record is from RefSeq and is a predicted model, not a curated record.